CGGACGGGUGCGUAACGCGUGGGAAUCUACCUUGUAGUGGGGGAUAGCCCGGAGAAAUCCGGAUUAAUACCGCAUAAUCUCUACGGAGCAAAGUGGGGGAUCUUCGGACCUCACGCUAUUAGAUGAGCCCGCGUUAGAUUAGCUUGUUGGUGGGGUAAUGGCUCACCAAGGCUACGAUCUAUAGCUGGUUUGAGAGGAUGAUCAGCCACACUGGGACUGAGACACGGCCCAG
This 232-nucleotide ribosomal RNA is filed under the name uncultured bacterium. RNAcentral's name for it is "partial 16S ribosomal RNA". It matches the Rfam family "Bacterial small subunit ribosomal RNA", at positions 99 to 334 of the family's 1533-position model. The record is from RNAcentral.